Molecule: ribosomal RNA, 1830 nt
Filed under: Salmonella enterica subsp. enterica serovar Thompson
Lineage: Bacteria; Pseudomonadati; Pseudomonadota; Gammaproteobacteria; Enterobacterales; Enterobacteriaceae
Description: partial 23S ribosomal RNA
Rfam family: Bacterial large subunit ribosomal RNA
Source: RNAcentral
CUGCGGCAGCGAACGUAUCACUUAAAGCGAUUCAGCGGGUUACGAUUGACGGAGCGAAGCGACGUCAAAGCGUAUACAAAGUCGAGUCGGUUUAAGGAUACGUUCGUUGGGUAGGGGAGCGUUCUGUAAGCCUGCGAAGGUGGCCUGUGAGGGUUGCUGGAGGUAUCAGAAGUGCGAAUGCUGACAUAAGUAACGAUAAAGCGGGUGAAAAGCCCGCUCGCCGGAAGACCAAGGGUUCCUGUCCAACGUUAAUCGGGGCAGGGUGAGUCGACCCCUAAGGCGAGGCCGAAAGGCGUAGUCGAUGGGAAACGGGUUAAUAUUCCCGUACUUGGUGUUACUGCGAAGGGGGGACGGAGAAGGCUAUGUUGGCCGGGCGACGGUUGUCCCGGUUUAAGCGUGUAGGCUGGUUUUCCAGGCAAAUCCGGAAAAUCAAGGCUGAGGCGUGACGACGAGGCACUACGGUGCUGAAGCAACAAAUGCCCUGCUUCCAGGAAAAGCCUCUAAGCAUCAGGUAACACGAAAUCGUACCCCAAACCGACACAGGUGGUCAGGUAGAGAAUACCAAGGCGCUUGAGAGAACUCGGGUGAAGGAACUAGGCAAAAUGGUGCCGUAACUUCGGGAGAAGGCACGCUGACACGUAGGUGAAGUGAUUUACUCAUGGAGCUGAAGUCAGUCGAAGAUACCAGCUGGCUGCAACUGUUUAUUAAAAACACAGCACUGUGCAAACACGAAAGUGGACGUAUACGGUGUGACGCCUGCCCGGUGCCGGAAGGUUAAUUGAUGGGGUCAGCGCAAGCGAAGCUCCUGAUCGAAGCCCCGGUAAACGGCGGCCGUAACUAUAACGGUCCUAAGGUAGCGAAAUUCCUUGUCGGGUAAGUUCCGACCUGCACGAAUGGCGUAAUGAUGGCCAGGCUGUCUCCACCCGAGACUCAGUGAAAUUGAACUCGCUGUGAAGAUGCAGUGUACCCGCGGCAAGACGGAAAGACCCCGUGAACCUUUACUAUAGCUUGACACUGAACAUUGAGCCUUGAUGUGUAGGAUAGGUGGGAGGCUUUGAAGCGUGGACGCCAGUCUGCGUGGAGCCGACCUUGAAAUACCACCCUUUAAUGUUUGAUGUUCUAACGUGGACCCGUAAUCCGGGUUGCGGACAGUGUCUGGUGGGUAGUUUGACUGGGGCGGUCUCCUCCUAAAGAGUAACGGAGGAGCACGAAGGUUGGCUAAUCCUGGUCGGACAUCAGGAGGUUAGUGCAAUGGCAUAAGCCAGCUUGACUGCGAGCGUGACGGCGCGAGCAGGUGCGAAAGCAGGUCAUAGUGAUCCGGUGGUUCUGAAUGGAAGGGCCAUCGCUCAACGGAUAAAAGGUACUCCGGGGAUAACAGGCUGAUACCGCCCAAGAGUUCAUAUCGACGGCGGUGUUUGGCACCUCGAUGUCGGCUCAUCACAUCCUGGGGCUGAAGUAGGUCCCAAGGGUAUGGCUGUUCGCCAUUUAAAGUGGUACGCGAGCUGGGUUUAGAACGUCGUGAGACAGUUCGGUCCCUAUCUGCCGUGGGCGCUGGAGAACUGAGGGGGGCUGCUCCUAGUACGAGAGGACCGGAGUGGACGCAUCACUGGUGUUCGGGUUGUCAUGCCAAUGGCACUGCCCGGUAGCUAAAUGCGGAAGAGAUAAGUGCUGAAAGCAUCUAAGCACGAAACUUGCCCCGAGAUGAGUUCUCCCUGAGACUUAGAGUCUCCUGAAGGAACGUUGAAGACGACGACGUUGAUAGGCCGGGUGUGUAAGCGCAGCGAUGCGUUGAGCUAACCGGUACUAAUGAACCGUGAGGCUUAACCUUAC